Molecule: ribosomal RNA, 497 nt
Filed under: uncultured bacterium
Lineage: Bacteria
Description: partial 16S ribosomal RNA
Rfam family: Bacterial small subunit ribosomal RNA
Source: RNAcentral
GAUGAACGCUGGCGGCGUGCCUAAUACAUGCAAGUCGAGCGAACAGACGAGGAGCUUGCUCCUCUGACGUUAGCGGCGGACGGGUGAGUAACACGUGGAUAACCUUCCUAUAAGACUGGGAUAACUUCGGGAAACCGGAGCUAAUACCGGAUAAUAUAUUGAACCGCAUGGUUCAAUAGUGAAAGACGGUUUUGCUGUCACUUAUAGAUGGAUCCGCGCCGCAUUAGCUAGUUGGUAAGGUAACGGCUUACCAAGGCAACGAUGCGUAGCCGACCUGAGAGGGUGAUCGGCCACACUGGAACUGAGACACGGUCCAGACUCCUACGGGAGGCAGCAGUAGGGAAUCUUCCGCAAUGGGCGAAAGCUUGACGGAGCAACGCCGCGUGAGUGAUGAAGGUCUUCGGAUCGUAAAACUCUGUUAUUAGGGAAGAACAAAUGUGUAAGUAACUAUGCACGUCUUGACGGUACCUAAUCAGAAAGCCACGGCUAACUACGUG